AGGAUGAACGCUGGCGGCGUGCUUAACACAUGCAAGUCGAACGCUGAAGCUCCAGCUUGCUGGGGUGGAUGAGUGGCGAACGGGUGAGUAACACGUGAGUAACCUUCCCUUGACUCUGGGAUAAGCCCGGGAAACUGGGUCUAAUACCGGAUAUGACCUCCUGUCGCAGUGGGUGGGGGGUGGAAAGAUUUAUCGGUCUUGGAUGGACUCGCGGCCUAUCAGCUUGUUGGUGAGGUAAUGGCUCACCAAGGCGACGACGGGUAGCCGGCCUGAGAGGGUGACCGGCCACACGUGGGACUGACGACACGGCCCAGACCGUCCGUACGGGAGGCCAGCAGGUGGGAAUAUUGACACGAAGU
Molecule: ribosomal RNA, 359 nt
Filed under: uncultured soil bacterium
Lineage: Bacteria
Description: bacterial SSU rRNA
Rfam family: Bacterial small subunit ribosomal RNA
Source: RNAcentral